RNAcentral lists this long non-coding RNA (41925 nucleotides) under Vitis vinifera (wine grape). RNAcentral describes it as "long non-coding RNA (VVIN_LNC000077)". The record is from RNAcentral. Lineage: Eukaryota; Viridiplantae; Streptophyta; Magnoliopsida; Vitales; Vitaceae.
AGUUGGAGAUUGAAACAGAGAUCAAAGCAGUUGCUGAUGAGUUCUUUAAAAUCUUCAGGAGCCAAGCACACCACCUGCCUAAUAUCUGUUCCGAUAAAAUACACAAAAUCUAGGUACAUGAAGGUGACUGGGAGACUCAGGGAUCCGUCAAGCAUUGGAUGUUCAAAUUGAUGAAUGGUAGUUUUUCAUUCAUACUUUCUUUCGUUCAUAUACAGAGUAUAUAUAGAGGGUAAUCACCAUUCUAAGAAUGAGAAAGGAUGAUACAAGGAAAGAAUAAUAUAAGGAAAUAACAACUAAUAUCCUAAUAUCUCAACUUUCCUAAUAUCUCAAUAUUCCUAAUAUCUUAAUAUUCAUAAUAUCUUAACUUUCCUAAUAUCUAAACACUAAAUGAUAUAAGGAAAUAAUGAUAUAAGGAAAACAUUCCUAAUAUCUCAACACUCCCCCUCAAGUUGGUGCAUAGAUGUCACACAUGUCCAACUUGUCUAAAAUUUUUUGAGAAUACUUGACUUGAGACAGCUUUGGUGAGGAUAUCGACUAACCAAUCUUACUUUCCACCUUGGAUCAACUAAGGCUUCUUGCACAUUGUUAGGAAUAACUACAGUAAAUAAUUGAUUUACAAAUGACUUAUUUGAUUCAGACAAACGAUGGUUAGACACAUAGUUGCUCAUGGGAUAUUUGACUUUGGUAGACAAAUCAGGUUCAUAUGUGGGUUUAGGAAUACCAAGAUUAUGACGAUGUGGUAACCGUUUCAUGAAUGGAUCGGGUUCCAAAUUAAGAACACCCUCAACAGACGACGAUUGGUUUGAUAUUUCAGUGAAGACAUCUUCAGACCCAAAUUGUUGACCUCUCAUAUCCAACUCACCCACUUCCUGGUUCACUAGUUCAGAUUGUCCAGAUUCAUUCUCCUUAGAGAUAUGAUAAUCAUAAUCAAGAGUCUGAAUUUCCUUAUGGUACUCCCCCUGAAGUUCAGACUCAGAUGAAAAUUACAUCGAAUCUUCAUGAAACACCACAUCCAUUGUAAUAUACAUUUGUCGAGUUGGAGGAUGGUAACAUCGAUAUCCCUUUUUGUGCAAUGCAUAUCCAACAAACACACAUUGCAAUGCAUGGGAAGUUAACUUAGUGCGUUGGUGCUUGUGUAGAUGCACAAAUGCCACGCAACCAAAAACACGAGGAGGUAGAUUUGGGACGGUUGGGGCAACUACGACAUUAGUAAGAGCUUGGAGAGGUGUUUGAAAGUUAAUUGAGCUAGAAGGUACCCGAUUGAUCAAGUAUACGGCAGAUGUGAUUGCUUCUCCCCAAUAAGAUAUCGGUGUUUUUGCUGCUAUCAAGGAAGCACGAAAAACCUCUAACAAGUGCCGAUUUUUUCGUUCAACGACUCCAUUUUGCUGGGGUGUAUUGGAACAAGUAGUUUGAUGAAUGAUGCCAUGUCCUUCCAAAUACUUUUGAAGAUCAGAACUUUGAUAUUCUCCACCAUUAUCACUACGCAGAACCCGAACCUUUGCAUUGUAUUGAGUUUCAAUCAUUUUAUGAAAUUUUUGAAACAACAAGUUCACUUCAUCUUUGGUCUUCAUCAAGUAUAACCAUGUCAUUCUGGUACAAUCAUCAAUAAAAGUAACAAACCAACGCGAACCACUCAAAGUUGGGACUUUGGAUGGGCCCCAAACAUCAGAAUGUAUAAUCAUAAAAGGAGACGGACUUUUAUUCAAAAUUAAUGGAAAGGAAGCACGAUGGCUUUUAGCCAAUUCACAAAUAUCACAACGGAAACCAGAAAUAUCACUCUUUGCAAACAAACUAGGAAAUAAUUUUUUUAAAUAUCCAAAGGAAGCAUGUCCCAAACGUCGAUGCCACAACCAAAUUUCAGACUUUUUCUUCUCUUCCUCAGAUCCAUCUGCCAUCAAGGCUUGUCGCAACUUAUUUGAAUCAUUUGACUGCAAGUCCAAAUAAUAGAGUUUUCCCCGCUUAAUACCAAAACCAAUCGUCUGUCUUGUUUGGAUGUCCUUAAAAACACAAAAUUCAGGCCAAAAAAUGACAAUACAAGAUAAGACUGCAGUGAUUUGAGAAACUGACAAAAGAUUGUAAUUUAAGGAUGGAACAACUAAAAUAGAAUCCAAAUUCAAAGUAUCAGUAAGAGUUAAGGAUCCUUCCCCAAUGACUGGGGUUGUGUUACCAUUGGCUGUGGAAACAAAUUUUUGUGAGGAAGGUCUAACGGGUGAGACUUGUCUAGAAUCAAAAGUCAUAUGAUCUGUAGCACCAGAAUCAAUUAUCCAUGCAUUAUUAAUAACAGGUGUAGAAGUAUUUAAAAACUUACCACCAUAAUCUGUAGCGGCUAUCAAUGCAGAGGCUUUCUCAUCAACAUUAGCCUCUGUUUUUAUUUCGGCAAUAGCUGCAGUCGAGGUUUUCUUGGAAUUCUUCUUCUGUUGAUCACGAUUGUGAUCCCACCAGUCUGGAUAUCCCACAAUUUCAAAGCAACGACUCUUGGUAUGACCAGUCUUAUUGUAGUGAGUGCAUUUGAAGGUUGACUUAUCAAUAUUAUGGUCUGUCUUAGGAUGAUUGGUCUUGGAUUGGUCCUGCCAAUUUCGGGUUAAUUGUUGUCGGACUACCAUAGCUGAGGUGUCAGGGUUGUCAGAUUCUGCUUUCAUACUAGCAUGACGUAAUGCCUCUCGUUGAAUCAGUGCAUAGCAUUCUUCCAAAUAGGGAAGAGGAUCUUUGCGUAGAAUCUCUCCUCAAACUUGCUCAAAGUCACCACCCAAUCCAGCAAGAAAGAUGUGCACCCGUUGUCGUUCAAUGGAUUUCCGGUAUGCUGCAAUGUCUUCAGGGUCUUUCAUGACUACCUUCUCCCGAUGAUCCAAUUCGCAAAAAAGUUCAAUUAACUCUCCAUAAUAUUCAGAAAGAGACCUGCCGUUUUAUUUGGCAGUGAAGACUUUUUGAUUCAAAGUGAAAACUUGUAAUUCAUCACUUUCAUCAUAGAAGGCCUUUGAUAAUGCACUCAAAAUUUCUUGAGCGGUGGGUAAGCGUAAGUAAUGCUUCAUAAUUUCUGGACUCAUGGACAUUAACAACCAUCUCUUCACCUUUUGAUUCUCAGCAUACCAUUUUUCAUAUCCAUCUUCUGACUCUUUUGGUAGAUUUGUCUUACCUCGGAUGUAGGAAAGUUUUUCCCGUUCGGCAAUAUGCAUCUCCACGAGUUGUGACCAAACGUCAUAGUUUGAUUUAGUCAAAAUAAUUCCUGAAUUGAAAGUACCUUCAGAUUGAAAAACAAUAAUACUUUUUUCACUCAUUUUUUUUUUCUCUCGCAAAGAAGGGGCAAUUGUUGGCCUUACAACAAAAUAUCCAGGAUUUCAGGAACCUAGCUCUGAUACCAUGUUCAAAUUGAUGAAUGAUAGUUUUUCAUUCAUACUUUCUUUCGUUCAUGUACAGAGUAUAUAUAGAGGGUAAUCACCAUUCUAAGAAUGGGAAAGGAUGAUACAAGGAAAGAAUAAUAUAAGGAAAUAACAACUAAUAUCCUAAUAUCUCAACUUUCCUAAUAUCUCAAUAUUCCUAAUAUUUCAAUAUUCAUAAUAUCUUAACUUUCCUAAUAUCUAAACACUAAAUGAUAUAAGGAAAUAAUGAUAUAAGGAAAGCAUUCCUAAUAUCUCAACAUUGGAGUUACACCAUUGGUAUAACAUGCAACUCAAACUCAGAACUCCAAAACACUAGCUGGCAUUAUAUUCUGCUAAAAUAUUUUUUGAUGUUUAUCUUUCAUUUCAUUGUUGUUUUCUUCACCUCUCAAAUUUUCUUUUAUAAUAAAUGCAUGCCUCUUUGUACUUUUUUUUUUCUUGCAAAGAAGUGACUAUAAUCGAUGGUUCUUAGUAAUGUAUAUGGCAUCUAAUAAUAGCUUUAACAUAUUCCAAUUAUGUUUAACCUCACAUUUUGGUUUGAACUAGGAGGGAAUUCUAAGAGUAUUAAGGAGACUGUGGAAUCAAAAGAUGAAGAGAACAGGUCCAUCACGUUCAAGGUUUUGGAUGGGGAGCUGUUGAACGACUACAAGAGCUACAAGUUCACCACACAAGCGAUACCAAAGGGGGAGGGCUGCUUGGUGAAAUGGACCGCUGAAUAUGAGAAGGCAAGUGAGGAUGGAUCAGAUCCCCGUGGCUACCUGGAGCUUGCAGUUAAUAUCACCAAAGAUAUCGAAAGUCACCUUCUCAAUGCAUAACGCCAAGACCAUAUGUACCGUUUGCUAGUAUUUCUCUCUUAAAUAAAGUUUGGAACUUGGAUGUGCAUCUAUGUACUAUCUCGACCUUUUAAUAAACGCAAAUUCCAGCUGUACUGGAGUUGGUGACUAAUGCCGAGAAGACAAACUAGGUUCCCGAUCCUCAGUUAUUUAUGCAAUAAUAUUAAUUAGUGCAUGCGUGUGAUUAGUUGUAUGGUUCUGGGAGUUGCUUUGUGAUUGUUAAUCGGUGUCUUUUGUAGUGGGAUUAUUACAUGCAUGUAAUGUGAAGAACAUAUGAUCCAUGAGGAAAUAAAUUAAAUGAAAAUUACCCAGGCUCCAUCAUGAGGAGCCUUUGAGCAUGCCCACAAGCCUACGUUCCUGCAUUCAAGUCACAUAUGUGAAAAUUCCACUUUGCACAUAAUCUAAAUAAUUUAUCUAAAAAUCUAAGAAGUAAUCUCUCUCUCCAUCUAUGUCUCUCUCUCCCCAUCUAUAUGUACCUCAAAUGAAGAGGUAAGGUAAUGUAAAAUCCCCACCUCAAAUUUAGGGAUAUUUAUAUAAUUUGAAAAUUUUAAAAAGACCUACAUUAAUUUUGUAAAUAUUUAUGUAAUCAACUUUCUCAGAUUAAUUAAAUAAAAAAUUGACCAAGAUGAUUAAAAAUGCAAAUUUGAUGAGGACAUGAAGUAAAAAGUGGUAGGGUUUAAGGACAAUGGCUUCUACUGAAUUUUGGUGAGGUGGUGAUACAAUGAGGAAAAUAGAUUAAUAAAGUUUAUCCAUGGAAAUAGAAAAUAGAAAACAAAAAAUAUAAAAUAAUAAUAAUAUUCAUGUUAAUCAUUUAAUAAAUAUAAUAAAUGCAAUUAUAUAUGCUAAGUGAAAAUAACAAUAUUAUUAUUAUUAUUAUUAAUGCUUAUGAUAGGUGAGAAUUAAGUCUUUUAGAAAUUUGAGUAAUUUUUUCAAGGUAAAGCUUAUAGUUCAUUAAGUCAUUUUAUAAUUCCUUAUAUAUUUUUUUAUUGAUUUUUAAAGUAUCAAAAUGUGUAAAUUCUUUAAAGUGGAUCAAAUAGUUUUUUUUUUUUUUGAAAUAUUUUGUGAUUUGUUUGGUUGUUAUGAAAGUGAAUUUUAUUACUUAAUUUAUUAUAAUGAUUUUAAAACUCUAGUUAUUAGUGGUUUUAGUCAACAAGGAUAAGUUAUUAACCUUCUUUACCUUUGGUCAGUGAAGGGAUGUAGUAUAACACUAGCCAAUAAAUGUGUCAUUGGUCUUGUAUACUAUUGAUUAGAAAUUGUUAUGUCCACCAAUGAGAGUAUUAAAGUGAGGUGAGCCACCUAAUGUAAGUCCCAAUAUUUGGGCACAACGUUAUUAUUAAUUAAUAAACAAAAAUAAAUAGUUUAUUUAUAAAAAUUUUUUUCUAAAUAUAAAUUGAGUAUGCAAAUUGUAUUUUUUAAUUCUAUCUUUAAAUUUAAAGUGUUUAAUCUUUUGAAGAAAGUGAAUUUAAUUUUUUGAAGAAAGUGAAUUUAAUUUUUGAAUUAAAUAAAUUAACCUGAUAAUUGAUUUUUAUAAAAAUUUGAUAUCUCUUAGAAUUUAAUUCUCUACAAUAUAUACCUGAUUUUUUUCAUUGAACUAUUUUUUCUUAUUGAACCAUUGAAGUCACCCUUCUUUAUUAUUCCCCUUUUCAUAUACAAAUGGUAUAAGUGAGAAGGGAUUACGGGAGGAGAAAUGUUUCUAUUAUAAACAACUUUGGAAUUGAAUUAUGUUGGAUUGUGAAACGUGAAUCGGUUUAAUUUAUUGUAUUUUGCAAGGAAUGCUAGAGGUCGAGUGUCUAAUUGAGCUUGCGGGGAUCAAGAGUCUUGAUCGGUUCGUUGGGACUUGGGAUUGAGUUGUCCAAUCAGCUCAUGGGGUUAAAGGAAUAUCCUUCGAUUUUUUUUAAUACGAUGAAUAACGAGUUUGUCCUAAUUGUAUAUUUAAUCUUAUUAUAAUUUAAAGUUUCUUUUUAGAGAGUGUGUGACUGCAAUCGAAAGGAUAAUGAGUGUUUAGUACUCGUCUUAUUUUUUUCUGAACCAAAUUAAAAAUCUAUUGUUUUUCUUUAUUUUCUAAUCGUGUGUGCAUGAUUUGAUCAACAAAUUAUUUAUAGGAUUGUUUACUUAAAUUUGAUUGUAAUUUAUUUAAGUUUUUAGGAGAAUCAUUAAAUUUAUUAUUACAAUAUUUUAUUAGUUUUGAAUUUGUUAUUUAAAGUGAUUCAUUUACUUGGUUCAAAGGUUUGACAUAUAAAGUCACCGUGGUUCCCUUGGUGUCGCGGGUGAUUUUGUAAGUGCCUUCGGACUACAGAAUAUUAAUUAACCUACCAAUCUUCAAUGUAAUCUAAGAUGCAGAAAGAUCUUGUGGGUUAAGGUCAAGUGGGCGCUUCAAUAUUUAUCAUGUCUUCAAAAAAAACUUCAGGGCCCCAGUCCAGAUUCUCAGAUAUGGAUUCUAACAGUUGCUACCAAUCACGGGGGUGAAAACAAAUCAGUGUCGCAGAAAUCGCUAUCAAUGUGGUACUGGAAAAAAAAGAAGAGAUUCCUCCACUUGUUCUUGAAAUUUAUCUGAACGCAUGCAAUAAAUCAAUGCUCCAUAAUCUCCUGCACAUGCAAAUUAAAAUCAAAAUCAGGCCAUUGGCCUCUCACAUUACCAUUCUUGGCCGUUUUCUGGUGUGCAUAUAAAGAGUAAUAACCACACCAUCCAUCUUUUACUCUGGUUGUCACACUCCCACCACUCUCCCACCACUUCUUCCCUAAUCUCCUAACAUCAAAUACAAAAAUGCCACAUCCUUAUUAUUGAAAAUUAAAUUCCCAUACAUAUAAAUCUUAUGCCAGAUUUUUUGUUGAUUGGAUGAUAUUCGGCCAUAUAAAAUUCAGUAUCAAUCACAAACAUUCGUUAUCCAAUCUUGAUACCGAAGAGGAUAGAGUAUCAAUCCAUCUAUGGGCCCGGUGCACCAGGCCUUCCGCCUAUAAAAGUUUUCUAGGGUGGUGAACUAUAUUCUUCAAACACAGCCUUGGCUAGUUACUAUCUGGUUUCCAAAGAAAGAAGAAAUGGCUCAGAUAGAUAAGAUGGAAACCCAUGUAGAGAAAAAGUCCCCUGCCAAUGAGUUCUACGAGGUCUUCAGCAGCAAAGCUCAUCUCAUUCCCAAGGCCUGCCCUGACAAAAUCAAGAGCAUCGAAGUGGUUGAAGGUGAUUGGAAGAGUGUGGGCUCUGUCAAGCUCUGGACUUACUGUAUCGGUAAGGCAACGCUAACCAUUAUUCCCAUGCCACCCUCAAUCAAACAAAAUAAUACACUCAGCACAUGGACCUUCUUGUUUUUAAUUAUUAUUGCUGUGGAAGAUAAUAAUAACAAAACAAAGGGAAUGACCCCUUCUGAUACGGGUGCCUCCUCAUAUUAGUUUUUUGAAGUUCUCCAUGCAAACUAAAGUAGAAAUCAAUCUUUAGGCACAUCCCUUAUCUGAGCUUCACAUGACCUUAGUUUCAUUUUAAAUUAACCUGCAGGAGGAAAUACUUCGUCUAGCAAGGAGAGGGUGGAAAAGAAAGACGAUAAGAACAAGUCCAUCACUUUCAAGGCUCUGGAUGGAGAGGUCAUGAAGGAUUUCAAGAGCGUCAUCUCCAUCCUUGAAGUGAGUGCAAAGGAUGACGGCAGCCUGGUGAAAUGGACUUUGGAAUAUGAGAAGUCAAAUGAGAAACUCCUACCUCCAGAUGCUUACCUCAGCCUUGUAAUUAGUAUGAGUAAAGAAAUCGACGCUUACCUUCUCAAGGCAUAAGCCGCAUAACAAGCCCUAUAUCCUUGACUUGAUAUGAAAGCAUCCUAGCCUGGGUCCUCCUGGGAAUAACGGAGUUGCUAUGCGUACCUCCAUAUUAUAUUAUCGACACCUACUGGCUACUGCUGUACUCCAUGUAACUUCUUGCUGUACUUAAUUAUAUGAGCUUCCUGAAUUAAUGUUGGAAUGAUAAAUCAAGCUUUAUGGUAGAAUCAAAUGAUUGCUCUAUCAUGGAAUAAAUUUCGCAAUAAAAAUAAAUAUUAGAGGAGAGUUAUGAAACGAAGCUUUUUUUUCUGCAUCAAAUUAACUUUUCAUACACUGUUUUUAAAACAAAUCAACAUACAAUGAUCUUAUGUUGUACCUUUUCCGUUGCAGAUUGCUUUUAAAAAUGUUCUCCCCACAGGCACUUCUAUGGUAUCUUUUCAAAAUUGCUAUUAUAUAUGUUUAAUUAACCAUUCAUUUUGGUCUAAAGCUAGGACGAACUUCUAAGACUGCCACGGAGACUCUGGAAAUCAACAGAUGAAGAAAAAAAUAAAAUAUAUCCAUGACUUCCAAGGUUUUGGAAGCAGAGGUCAUGAAUCAUUUCAAGAAGAUUCAAGUCAUCCAUGCAAGUAACAGCAAAGGAUAAGCGCAGCUAGGUGAAAUGGAGACUGGAUAUUGAGGGUCACUAUCUCAGAUUCUCAAGGCAUAGCAUUAAAAACAUAUCCUUUAAUUGGUAGUAUAAUCUCAAACUUGUAUGUAAAGACCAGACCGUGGAAGUGCAUAUAUGCAUUUUAUUCUUCAAUAAGCGCAGGCUUAGGGGGUAGUUCAAUAACCUCUGGGCUUAGUCAAUCCCGAGAAGAUAUUAAUAAAUUUCCCUGGAUUAUUCCUCUCAUGAAUAUCAGUGCCUGUAAUUUGGUUGUGUGCUAACGGGAGUUGCCUCUUGCGAUCGGUUGGGUUCUUUAAUAAACGCAUUAUUAGGUAUGAAUGAUCAGGAAAUUGAUAAGUAAAAAACAAUUUAAUUAUUUCACUUAAGUCAUAAACCAUUAUGAGGAGCCUUGGAAUAUAUGCAUGAGUCUAGAUUCUCGCAGCCACUAAUCACGUAGUCAAAAUUGGCCAGUCGCAAACAUUCCAAUCAUUCUUUAUGAUAAGAAAGAAGAGUUCACUCUUCUUUUUCUCGAGUUUUUUAUUUGGAGAGAGCAAUUUAUCAGCCUCACAUUUUGAGACCUUUCUUGGCACAUCACUUUCAGAAUCUGAUUUCCUAGCUCCACUAUAGAAGUAAAGCCAGUUGGGUAUCACAUUCUUGUUUUAUGUCUCCUUGAGUGGGUCGGGUGUAUAUAAAAAUUUGCCAGUUGAAGAUUUUCUUUGUUAUGCUAGUCUUUCUUUUUCUAACCUCCUGAUAUCAAAUGGGAAAAUGCCAUAUCGUUACUGGACAAUUGACCCAUAAUGGAGAGACUUUUGUUGGUUGGACUUGGGCUUUUAUAUAACUCAGCAACUAUCAUAAUUAUAGGAGAAAUUUGAAGUAACCAUAUUGAUUUGGGUCUACCAAGAAGCAAGGUGAAUCGUAACAUAUCAUGCAUAUAACUUGAUUCAAUUAUUUUAUAUUCUACUUGUUUCUUAUGUAUUUUUACUUUUAUCAAAUAGUUUAGAUAUCAUUACCAAAUAUUCUCCUGACAUUUUCCUAUUAUUUCUGUAAGAUGCUAUAAUCUACACCCAAAGUAGUGGACCACUUACACUUUAUUAUGUACUAACCACGAUCAUAACUUACAUUCUCCACCUUGGCCUCUCUCUUAUCCCAAAAAGUAAAGACUCAGGGUUCGUAUCCCUUCCCUUCUGUCUAUAUAGGUCUAAGAGUAGUCAAGUGUUUCCUUCAAUAGCCUUCAUAUUCUUGGCAGUAACUAGGUACUUGGUUUUCAAACACAACAAAAAUAAUGGCUCAAAUUGCCAAGAUGGAGGUCCAAGCAGAGAUCAAGUCCCCUGCCAGUAAGUUCCACGAGGUCUGUAGCCGUAAAGUUUAUCUCGUACCCAAGGCUUGCCCUGAAAAAAUUAAGAGCAUUGAAGUAGUUGAAGGUGACUGGAAGACUGUGGGCUCUGUCCAGCUUUGGACUUAUUUCAUCGGUAAGGCAAAAUCCAUCAUUCCACGCCUCCCCCAACAAACACAAGGACACAGAGCUCAAUUGUACUUCUAUUAUUAUUACUAUUAUUAGGAAAUAAUGAUAAUCUAAUGGUAAUGUGACUCUACUCAUGCCGAUAUAAACCCCGUAAUCUUGAUCUCAAAUUGCUAUCAAACAAAAGAAUAUCAAAUAAAGGUAAAGUGUGUCCCCUAUAUUUAUACGUAGAUAGAUGAGUUCUAAGCUUAGCACCAUGUUUUCCAUUUGAAAAACAGGAGGAAAUACCGAAGAGGCUAAGUUGGUGGUUGAAAGGGUAGACGAGGAAAACAAAACGGUCACUAUGAACGUUGUGGAAGGAGAUAUCGUGAAGUAUUUCAAGAUCUUCAAGUGCACUAUUCAAGUAACCGUAAAGGAUAAGGGCAGCUUGGUGACAUGGAGUGUGGAAUAUGAGAAGCUAAAUGAGAGUGGCCCCGCUCCAGAUGCUUACCUCAACUUUGCAAUGGGUAUCGUUGAGAACGUGGAUGCUUACCUUCUCAAGGCAUGACAACAAAGGCGUAUUCAUGAGUCAUGACAUGGUAUGAAGCACUGGUACAACAAAAACUUGGGAAUAAUGUACCACACGCCAUGUCCUCAACUUCUACUGGUCAUCGCUAUAAUAUUAAAAGUAACUUCUUAUUCUACUUAUAUACCUUCCAAGUACUUUGUGUCUUGAAUGUUAUUAUCUAAAAAUAAAAAUAGAAAAUCUCGAAGAAGAGCAUUGUCCUUCGACACUUUUCUUUCUUUCUUUCUUUCUUCACUGCUGAGAAUCUCAACGUACGACUACCAUUUGCAUUAUGGACCCAUGACUGCCAUCCUUUGACCACAUUUGUUGCCCUCCCACCAAACUCCUACGCGUCAAAAUUUCUAUUGUUGCUUGAACAAUAUUUUCAUUUGAAAAACAAGGAAACGAUUUAAAAAUUCUUAUCUCAUGUCUAGUUACCCCGGUCGACCAUAUAAAGUACCACUUGAUCACUCUAGUCUCCUUUGCUAGCCCAUGGGCAAUGCAAUACCCAGCAGGUCCCAGUAACCAACUCUAUGUUCCUCCGAAAAUGAAACAAAUCAGGUCGUUUCAGGGAUGCAUUUGAUCUCACCCUUUUGUUUUGUGUCCGUUAUUUUUUAUUUUAAUAUCACAUGUUUAUAUUUUAAUCUCAUUCUUUACACCUGGAUUUGCUGAUAAAGGCAACUUUCUUUUUGAGCUUUGAUCGAGAUUUUUAUGAAAUUCCUGUGAUAUUACCGUCCUGCUCCUGCUUAAGAAUGUAACUUUGAUUUUGCUUUUAGUGAAGUCUUUAGGUGUUGUUUAUUCCCCAAAAUCUUUUGAUGUUUCUGAAAUUGCUUCAGUGGACUUUGAGAGGUUGCAGGUACCUCUUUUCUCCUGAAAUAGAAUUUGUUUCAGUGGAGCAAGACAACAGGAUGAGCAAAAAAUAGAACCAAUUUUAUUGAUAUAUAUCAGGUUUUUGAGACGUUGAAGAACAUUUCUAACAACUUUUUUUGAUGGGUGACCAAGCCUAUUAUGCCACAAUGCAUAUACAGAACAAGAAGAAAAAGAAGCAGGUGUUGGAACUACAGAAGAAUUGUAUACUAAGGGUUGUGUUGACAUACUGACAUAUGACUUAUGAGGAGUUGAGGGAGAGAAGCUGCCACUGAUUAUUAAUGAGAUCAAUUUGAGACUGAUAAAAAACAUAAAGACCAUCUUUAGGCCUACCCCUCCAGUAGCACUGUUUUGAAGUGAAAUUCAAAGAAGACAUUCUUUUGGGCAAAUUUUGACACACUGAGAAGGUUCUAAUUAGCAAUUUCAGGGACAUGAAGUGUUUUAAAGAGUAAUUUCAGCAAACAUAACUUCAACUUUACAUCCACCUGACCUCAUUAUUUCAGUUUGACAAGAGGGCUUAAUUAUAUCAGUAUGACUGCUAAGAAGACUUUGGAAUAUUAUAAAACGAGUCCAUCAAGUUCAAGGUUUGGAAUGGAAAGAUCAUGAGUAAUUUCACUACUUUUAAGCUGAAUAUGAGAAGGUAAAUGAGGAUGUCCCAGACCCAAUGCUUACUAAAUCAUUGAAGGUCACCUUCUUGAGGCAUAAUUCCAAUUCUUUUCAUCGAUGCUUCUUAGAUGUUAUAAAACAAUACUAUGAAAAUGAAAACGUAAUGUAAUUUUGUCAAAGCCUUUUCCUUAUUGAAGACUCUGGACUGAUUGCGUGGGUGCGCAACACCCACCAUAAUUCCCACACCAACGCCCAACUAACCAAAUCACGUAAGGCCUCACAUGGCCUCAUUAUUAUUUCUGUUGAAAGAUAAUACUAUAUUACAUACGAGAUGGCCAUUCUACCAGCCACCUGUAAAGUUGGUGAUAAAUUGAUACUAAAAAUAGAAGGAAAAUUAAGUUGAAAUUAAGGGUGUCUAUUUAAAUUUAAUUAUUCCCUAGAUAUGAUCUUUUGAUAUGAUUUGAACCCGUUAAUCAUUUAUUUUUAUAUAAAGAGACAAAAAUUCAAUUGUAUAAUCCAGGAUGAGUCACUUGGCCGGGUUUUCGACGACAGCUAAAUCAACCUUCAUUUAGUAAUGAUUGCCCAUGAAAUAAAUUAUCAUGUCUCCUCACAAUAUAAUAAACUAAUAAAAAAUAAAAGAAGAUCACAAAGAAAAGCAUCUUAGUGGAAGUUUUUUUUUUUUUUUUUUUCUUUCAUUUGUUGGUGGUGACACUCCGUGAAAUGUGAUCAACUAGCAUUUGAAUUACACAACCUAAUGCAAAUGAUAAAAAGCAUAAAUUACUUUAGAGUGUUUAGAAUUUGGAAGACUCUAGCUAGGAUGAUAUGGCAUGGGUCUGUGGCCGACAACCACCAAACCCAACGCUAAAUAAUUAUUAUUGAACCAUCAUCAUCAGUAUAAGCAACAUCAAACCUCUCCAUGUUAAACUGUACAUUUUAUUUCAUCCGGAUCUAAUAUCUAAUUAUAAAUGAUUAUGUAUGAGAUUGCAAUCCUUUGCUUAACUCUUUGAAAAUCUAAUUAUAAAUAUUUGGAAUAUCGAUUUCAUCUCUACCAUUAAAAGCAUAUGAAAAAAAUAUCUUGGUCUUUGAAUAAAAGUAAGUAUAAAUAAUUAGACUAGGGUACCAAAUGAUGAAAUCAAAUAUAAAUGAAUUAUAACCAUCAAAUUUCUAUUUUUCAUUAUUAAAUCAUUGGGCGCUCCAAUUUUUACAUGAUGUAUAACUAUUGACGGAAAUGUUAAUUAGGGAUGGCAACGGGGCUGGUUUUUUCGGGUACCCGCCCCCCCCUCCCCCCCCCCCGCCCCUAAUGGGACGGGGUUGAAAUUUAAUAAACGGGUUUUUAACGGGUAUGAGAUUUUUUUUUAAAACCAGGGGCGGGUUCGGGACGGGUUCGGGACGAGUUCGGGUAUUGCCCCAUUCCGCCCCGCCCCGCCCUGUUUACAUAUAAAAUCAAUUUUAAAAUUAAUUUUAUUUUACUAUUUUUAAUAUAUAGAUAAUAAUAAAAAAAUUAAUAAAAUAAGUUAUAAAAAAUAUAAUAAUUUUAUUAUUUAUAAAUAUAUUUAUUUUAAUGUAAUUAAAAAUUUUAAAAGUAAAUUUUUUUUUUUAUAAAAAAAAGGAGGCUAAACGGGGCGGGACGGGGAUGAGAAUUAUUUUUAAUAAACGGGGCGGGGUUGGGAUGGGGGCAACCCGUCCCGAACCCGCCCUGUUGUCAUUCCUAAUGUUAAUAUAAGGAUAUAAUAAUGGGUAAAAUUAGUUGAAAGUGUUUUUUUUAUGACAUAAAAUAAUUUUUCAAAUUUUAAUUUCUAUUUACUUUGUCUUCCCUUGUCAUGUAUCUUUGUAAUUUUCCGAUUUGUUUAUCAAAACAAUAAAUGAUGUCAUGUUAUGAUUUCUCUUUUUGUCUUCCUUUUUAAUUGACGUGUUUAUUGGAAUAAUAUAUUAUGUUAGACAAAAUAACACAUACCUCCACUGCCCAAAUCCCCUCCGUGACAAUGAACCCCAUCUUUAAGCAUUAUUAUAAAAUUAAGCAUAAAGUUAUUACAAGUUUCUUCCAUUUCACAUGCCUUUCCCAUAGAUUGAGUGGUGGAGAUGAUCAUUCUUGAACGAUUUAUAAUUUUAAUGAAUUCUGUCUAUUCUCAUAUCUUUUAAGAGGGAAUUCAAAUCAACUUAUCUUAUUUUCUCAACGCUACUUAACUUCCACGGCUUCAAAUUUACAUGAUCAUAUCAUUAUCAAUAACUUCGGCAUAACUAUUCAAAUUUUAAUAAGAACUUCAAAUCAUUGUUACCUUUAUUGCCUUAAAAAUCUUUUUCUUUGUCAAUGAUCCCUGCACGAUUAUUAAAUAAUAGGAUUGUUAUUGUCAUAUUAACUAAUUUUGAUAAUAUAGUCAUCGUCACGGCUGAGUGCCGUUUUCUUGGGAGAUUUUUCAUAAAUUUAAAUCAAUACCAGUUAUAGGAAAUGCGUCACAAAUUAGGAAGAUAUCGAGCUGGAAGCAGAUGAUAUAUAAUUCAUUAUUUUCUUCCUUAUUGAAGCUUGACAAACCAAUCCAAAUGCAUUAACGUGAGAAGCAAGGUUUUAUGCUCAUUUUCAAUGAACCUUGUCAACAUGCACGUCAAAAACAAUGAUUUAUUAACUACGUACAUGUAGAACUGCAUGGGAAAAAAAAAAUACAAUUAAGGCAUUGGGAUAUGAAUAAAACGCUUAACUUAAAAUUCAAAAUUCUCAAAACUACGUUUUUCACACCAAAAUGUUUCAUCCAGCCAACCUAAGACCGAGUGAAUCCUCCCUCUAAAGCACAUUGCCCAAGACUACAGGCAACGUAGUAAUUACCUAAGCAAAUACGUCAGAAUCAUACCAAUUUUUACCAAAGUGGGUAUCGGGAAGGAGCUUUGCCUAAUUCAUCCUUCUAUAUAUAAGGACAAGGUUAUCUACUUCUUCUCAUCACUGCCUUCUGUUUGAAUAUUUUGUAGUUAGUUUUAUCAAUCCAGCUAGUGUUAUUAUCAGAAAAACAUGGCUCUAACUGGUAAGUUGGAGACUGAAACAGAGAUCAAAGCACCUGCUGAUAAGUUCUUUAAAAUCUUCAGGAGCCAAGCACACCACCUUCCUAAUAUCUGCUCCGAUAAAAUACACAAAAUCGAGGUACAUGAAGGUGACUGGGAGACUCAGGGCUCCGUCAAGCAUUGGAGUUUGACCGUUGGUAAGGCAUCUCAAACUAAGAACCACAAAACACUAGCGUUAUAUUCUGUUAAUUAAAAUAAGUUAUUAUGUUUUUGUUUCAUUUCAUUGUUGUUUUCUUCACCUUUCAAUUAUUCUAUUAGAAUAAAAGCAUGCCUCUUUGUACAAUUUUUUUCUUGCAAAGAAGUGAUCGAGUCUGGGCCGCUAGUGACUAUGAUGGUUCUUAGGAAUGUACAUGACAUCUAAUAAUAGCUUCAACAUAUUCCAAUUAUGUUUAACCUCACAUUUUGGUUUCAACUAGGAGAGAAUUCUGAGAGUAUUAAAGAGACUGUGGAUCAAAUAGAUGAAGAAAACAGGUCCAUCACAUUCAAGGUUUUGGAUGGGGAGGUGCUGAAAGACUACAAGAGCUACAAGUUCACCACACAAGCGAUACCAAAGGGGGAGGGCUGCUUGGUGAUAUGGACCAUCGAAUAUGAGAAGGCAAGUGAGGGUGGCCCAGAUCCCCAUAACUGCCUAGAGUUUUCAGUUAAUAUCACCAAAGAUAUCGAAAGUCACCUUCUCAAUGCGUAACACCAAGGCCAUAUCCACCCUUUGCUAGUAUCUUGCUCGUAAAUAAAGUUUGGAACUUGGAAGUCCAUCUAUCUCUAUCUUUCAAUAAACGCAAAUUCCAGGUGUGGACUUGGUGAUUAGUGCCGAGAAGAUAAACUAGGUUUGCCUUGGUUAUUUGUGCAAUAAUAUUAGUGCAUGAGUGGGAUUGAUUGUAUGCUAUCUUGUCCGGGAGUUGCUUUGUGUCUUUUGUAAUGGGAUUACUACAUGUAAUGUGAAGACUAUAUGAUGCAUGGGGAAAUAAAUUAAGCGAAAACUUCCAUGGGCUCCAUCAUGAGGAGCCUUUGAGUAAGUCCACAAGCCUACAUUCUUGCAUUCUAGUCACAUGUGUCAAAAUAAGUCUCUACAAAUUAAAGUCUUAUUGUCAAAAUCCCACUUUACACAUAAUCUAAAUAAUUUAGCUAAAAUCUAAUAAGUAUGUCUCUCUUUAUAUGUACUUACCAUCCCAACUUUUAAAUUUAGGGAUAUCUAUGUAAUUUAGAUUUUAAAAAGAAAAUUUUAGGGAUAUUUACAAAGAUAAAUGAAAUAUUUUUGGUUCCGAUAACCAUUAUUUUUAUCUCAUUUUGGUUUCUUUGCGUUAUAAAAAAAAUGGUUUGUAGAGAUAAACUAGAGAAAAAAAAAAAUUAUACAAUGGUUUGUAGAGAAAUUUGAUUCGAAAAGUUAGAAAAGAUGAUUUGUUUUUUGCAUUUGCUUCAUUCUAAAAUUCAAUCACUAUCUUUUAUCUCAUUUUGGUUUCCCCACAUUAUCAAAAAAUGAAGGAUAAAAAUAAACUGGGGAAAAAAUUAUACAAAGGUCUCCGAGAACUUUGAUUUGAAGAGUUAGAAAAGAAGAAUUUUUUUGCAUUUGUUUCAUUUUAAAAUUCAAGGUUUUUGGAUUUCUAUUAUAUAUUAAUUAUGAGGAUAGUAGAAUAAUAAUAAUAAUAAACAAAAACUAGUUAUUAGUGACCUUGAUCAAUAGAGUAUAAGUUGUUGACCUUUAUUAUCUUUGUUAGAAGUAGUUAACGAUGCAAUGUAACCUUAGCCAAUAAAGAUGUUUUGAUAUACAUUGAUUGAAAAAUGUCCUUUUAAAACUAGUUAUUAUUGACCUUGGUCAACACAGAGGAUAAGUUGUUGACCUUUAUUACCCUUGUUAGGAGUAGUGAACGGUGUAGUAUAACCUUAGUCAUUAAGGAUGUUAUUAGCCUUUUGCUAUAUCAUUGAUUGAAAGUUGUCCUAUCCACCAAUAAGGAGAAUGAAGGCUAGCCACCAAGUACUAGUUUUAGUAUUUUGGCACAAUAUUAUUACUAGUGAGUCAAAGUGAAAUAUUUGUUGAUAAAACUUUUUUAAUAUGAAUUGAGUAAGCAAAAUAUAUUAUUUAAUUCUAUCAUUAAAUUGGAAGUGUUUAAAUUUUCAAAAACAAUUAUUUUAAUUAUUGAAUCAAAUGAGCUUACAUGUUAAUAGACUUUUAUAAAGAUGUGGUAUCUUCCGAAAUUUUAUUAUAUAUAAUAAUUGAUCUUCCUUAUACUAACUUUUAUCAUUGAGCCAUCGAGUUCACUUUUCUCUGUUAUUCUCCAUUUCAAUUAUAAAUGAUAUAAAGAGGGAUGAGGUAAGAAAAAUAUUUCUAUUAGAGACAGCUUUGGAAUUGAUUUAUUUUAGGAUUAUUUACUAGACUGAAUUCAUUUAUAAUUUCUAAAUUUCUUUUUGAAGAAUUUGAGAAAAUUAAAUUAAUUAUUGAGAGAUUUUAAUUAGUUUUAAAUUUGUUACUUAAAGUCGUUCACAUGUUGGAUUCUAAUAUUUGAUACGUGAAACUAGCAUGAAGGGCUUGACCUCCGGGUUUGGGGCGUCGCAGCUGACUUUAGAUUACAGAAUUAUUAAUCAACCUACCAAUCUUCAAAGCAAUCUAGGAUGCAAUAUGGUUUUGUGAUUUAAGAUCAAGUGGACGCUUCAUUUAUUAUGUCUUCAAAAAAACAUUUUGGGCCUCAAUUCGAGAUUAUCAGAUAUGGAUUCUAACAGUUGCUUCCAAUCAAAUCAGUGUCACAGAAAUCGCUACCAUUGUGGUACCUGAAAAAAAAAAAAAGAGACUCCUUCCCUUAAUAUUGAAAUUUAUCUGAAGCUAUGCAGUAAAUAAAUGCCCCAUUUUGUGCGUCAUAAUGGGGGAUCACAUUCAGAAUCUUCUGCACAUGCAAAUUAAAAUCAAAAUCAAGCCAUUGGCCUAUCACAUUACCAUUUUUGGCCCUUUUGUUUUGUUGUUUUUUUCUUUUUUUGGCGUGUAUAUAAAAAGCAACCACAUUAUCCAACUUUUAUUGAAAACACCAUAUUAUCAGAUACAAAAACGCCACAUCAUUAUUAUUGAAAAUUAAAUUCCCAUAUAUAGAAAGCCACAUAAAAUUCAGUGCCAAUCACAAACAUUCGUUGAUAUUCACUAGGAUAGAGAUAGAGUGCCCAUAUAUGGACAGUGCACCAUACCCGCCGUGAAGUGAUUGGAAGAGUGUGGACUAUGUCAAGCUCCGGACUUAUUUGUAUAGGUAAGGCAACGCUAACCAUUAUUAUUCCCAUGCCACCCUCAAUCAAGCACAGUCAUACACUCGGCACAUGGCACUUCUUGUUUUUAAUUAUUAUCAUAGUGAACAAUGUUUUCAUAAUCGGAUCGAUCAUCGAACCGAAAAAGUUAUCGAUUUACAGUCCAUUAGUCGAACCGACGGUCGAACCAAUAACAUCAUAAAUAUGUAAUUUAUAUAUUAUUAAAAUUAAAAAUAAUUAUACAAAUUUUAAAAUAUAUAUGAAUAAAUUAAAAAUCAAUAAUAUUAUUUUGUAUCUUUAAUAUUAUCAAAUUAAAUCAUAUUAAUAUUUUAAAUUUUAUUGAAUGAAAUAUAUAUAAUAUUUAAAUAUGAAUAUAUUAAAAAUGAAAAUUUAAUUAAACUAAUUUUAUAAUUUUUAAAAAUAUUAUAUUAUUUUUAUUUAAUAUUAUAAAAAAAUUUAAAAUCCAAUAUAUAUUAUUUUGUUUGGCAUAUUAAAUAAUAAAAGAUGUAUAGCCGAGUGGUCCUAGGUUGGUUAUAGACCUUGAGGUCCAAGUUCAAAUCCUUUGGUGGAUUUGUUAAUUUUUUUUUUCAUUGAUUAGGUUAGUUAGCAAUCCCACACUAAGAGGAAUAAGGAUGCUUAUAAAAGCUAGCCUCAUUAUGGGCAAAGGCAUCACCUCAUCUGGUGGGCUUAAGACUCAGCCCAUAAAAUGGUUGGGUGCGGUGUGGGCUUUGUCACAUUAAGACAGGGCCCAUCAUGGGCUUUUGCUAAAUUUUUUUAUACAAGGGAGCCUUCCAUGCUUGCAAAAUGGUGGGAUAACUUGAACCGAUCGAUUCGCUCAAAACCGUCUGAUUUCGUUGGGUUAUCGAUUCAAUCAUCGAUUUAGGUGAUUUGUGACCGGUCCAAUGCUUAGACGGUUUAAUAAAGUAAAUCUAAUAAAAAAUGUGAUGGAUCGACGAUUGAACCAGUUGGAUCAGUCGGUCCCACCCGAUUUUUAAAACAUUAGAUAAUAACAAAUUAAAAGAAGGGUGUCUCCUCAUAUGAGUUUUUUUGAAGUUCUCUACUCUUGGAGUGACUGAAAGGAUAACUGCAGCCUGGUGAGAUGGACUUUGGAAUAUGAGAAGUCAAAUCAGAGGCUCCUUCCUCCAGAUGCUUACCUCAGCCUUGUAAGCAUGAGUAAAGAUAUGGAUGGUUUACCUUCUCAAGGCAUAAACCGCAUAACAGCAAGGCCUAUAUCCUUGACUUGGUCUGAAAGCAUCCUAGCUUGGGUCCUUCUGGGAAUGGGAUUGCCACACGUAUGACCUCUGUAUCAUCAGUUUUGGGGCAAAAUAGCCAUUUUAUGUAUAAAAAAAAAUAAGCUUUAGCCCUUUACAAAACUUAUGUUUAAACUAGCUCACAUAGAGUCAUGUCAUCAUUUUUCUUUUAAACUCAAUUAGACUUUAUUUUUUAACUGAAACUUCAAUUACCAAUUGAGAAUUCAUUUUUUAACUAAAACUUCAAUUUACAAUUGAGGUUUUAGUUAACUUUGUUUUAAAUUUAAAUAAAAAAUUAAAUUAUAAAUUAUUAUUGAAAUUUAAAAAAUAUAUUUUAAUAAUAAUAAUUUAUAUAUUUAAACUUAAAUAUCUAAUAUUACUUCAAUAAAGAUAAAUUGACAAAUAUAAUAAUAAAUAAAUAUUUUAUUUAUCAAUAAAUUAAUAAUUUUAAAAUAAUAAAGUUAUAUGAAAUCUAAAUAAGAUAUAAAAUUAUAUAAUUUGUUAAUUUAAGAUAUUUAAUUUUUUGUAUUUUUAAGAUAUUAAUUUAUUUGUAUUUUGACAAAUUUAUCUUUAUUAAAAUAAUAAUAUAUUCUUAAGUUUCAUAUAUAGAUUUUUUUAUUAUUUUAAAGCAUAUAUUUAUAGUUUACGUAAAAAAAUACUAUUAUUUGUACAUACAAUAUAUAUGCCUUGAAGAUACAUUUUGAAAUUAGUUAAUAAAAUUAAUUAGAAAAAAGUCUACUAUAAAAUUUAAUUUUUAAUAGUUUCAUCAAAGUCACAAAAAAUACUCAUUAAAUAUUUAUAUUAUGGAAAAAAAAUGCCCCUCCCUAAUAUUACAUGUGAUAUAACUUAAAUUAAUAAAUUGUAUAAUUUUAUAUUUUAUUUAUAUGUCAUAUAAUUUUAUUAUUUUAAGAUUAUUAAUUAAUUGAUAAAUAAAAUAUUUAUUUAUUAUAUUUAUCAAAUUAUCUUUAUUGAAGCAAUAUUAGAUCUUUAAGUUUAAAUAUAAAAUUUUUUAUUAUUAAAGUAUAAUUUUUUAAUUUCAAUAAUAAUUUAAAAUUUAAUAUUUUUAAUUAAAUUUUAAAGUAAAAAAAUAAAAUAACUGAAGUUUCAAUUGACAUAUCUUAUUUAGAUUUCAUAUAAUAUUAUUAUUUUAAGAUUAUUAAUUUAUUUAUAAAUAAAAUAUUUGUUUGUUAUUAUAUUUAUUAAUUUAUUUUUAUUGAAGUAAUAUUAGAUCUUUAAGUUUAAAUAUAUAAAUUAUUAUUAUUAAAAUAUAUAUUUUUUAUUUCAAUAAUAAUUUAUAAUUUAUUUUUUAAUUAAAUUUUAAAAUAAAAUAAAAAUUUUAACUAAAACCUCAAUUGUCAAUUGAGGCUUUAGUUAAAAAAUAAGUUUCGAUUGACAAAUGAUACUUCAAUUAAAAAAUGAAGUCUUAGUUGGUAAUUGAGACUUCAACUUAAAUUUUAAAAAAAAAAAAUUAUGACAUAACUCCUAUAUGUGAUAAUAAAGGAACUAGUUUAAACAUAAGUUUUAUAAAAGGGUUAAAACUUAUAUUUUUUUCUACAUAAAAAACUAUUUUGCCCUAAAACUCCCGUAUCGUCGACUAGCUACUGCUUUACUCCAUGUAACAUCUUGUCUACUUAAUUAUAUGAACUUCCUGAAUUAAUGCUGGAAUGACAAACCAAGUUUUAUUGAAAAUGGAAACCUUCUUAGAAUCAAACAUUUGCUCGAACAAAUUUCGCAAUAAAAAGAGGAGAGUUGUGAAAAGAAGCAUUUUUCCUGCAGCCAAUUACCUUUUCAUACAUUACUUUAAAACAAAUUAACAAAUAGUGAUCUCAUAUUUUACCUUUUCUGUUGCAGAUUACUUUUAAAAAUAUUCUCUCCACAGGCACUCCUACGGAAUCUUUCUCCAAAUCAAACUGUACAUUUUACUCAAAUUUUAAUAUCUAAUUAUAAAUAAUUAUGGGUGAGAUUGCAAUCCUUUGCUUAGCUCUUUGAAAAUCUAUGAUGAUACUCGGUAUUAAUAUUUUAUUUUAUUAAAGAUAAAAAUAUCAAAAUAAUUUUAGAACUUUUUAGUGGGGAUAAUACUUCCCCAUUAGGCUGCUUACAAGGCAUAAAUUAAUAUUUUUUUAAUUUUAAUAAAAGCAAUUUGGUACAGUUGACUUGAUUGAUAACUAUUUAAGAUAGGAUUUAGACUAAUUUAGAUUAAUUAGAUUGCAUUUACAGUUCCGUUACCUCGAAACAAAGUUGGUGCAACAUUAACCAUGAUUAUGGUGAUAUAUUUUAGUUUUAUAUUUUUUAAGGGGAUAAUUUUUUUUUUUAAUGGUUUGAUGUUAGCUUAUAAGAAAAACCUAAACCAUAAAAGCCGAAUCUUUCCAAUAUUGAUCCAAUUUCUAUCAUUAAAAAUAUAUGAAUAAAACUUUUGAUCCUUAAAUAAAAGUAUACAAACUAUCGUACAAAAUAAUGGAAUCAAAUAUACAAAAUAAGAUUAAGGAAAUGUUUGAUAAAACUUAAUAUUUAUUAUUUAAUAAUUUAAAUUAACUCUAAGUUAAAUUAUAUUUAAGUUGUUGACUUAAAACUUAUUAUUUAAUUUUUAUUUUAAGUAUUAAGGUUAUUUAAAAAAAUUAACUUACAAUUUAUAUUAAAUCAUCAAAUUAAAAUAUUUAUCUUAAUAAAUUAUAACUAAGACAAAUAAGGUUAAAUAACAAUGGAGGUUGUGAAGUCAUAAAAGAGAUCAUAAAUGUAAUUGAGAGAAAAAAAGACAAAAAUAUAAAAUGAAGAUACUGACUUAAAAAUAAAUAAAUUUUUUUAUUUAUUAAGUCUUUUAUUUUAAGUCAUACAAUAAAAUUAUUUUAUCAAACAUAUUUAAUUUAUUUAAUAAUAUAAUUAAAAUAUUAAGUCACUUAAAGUUAUUAAAUUGGUUUACCAAACACGUACUAACGUACAAAUAAAUAAGACUAAAAUAGAAAACAAUGAAACUUAAACACAUAUAUGACAUGGUCUAUUUAAUUGUAUUUUUUUAUAAAUGCCUCUUUAAUACUUCCCAAAUCAUAACAUUAAAUUUCUUAAAUUGAUAUAAAACAUUUUUUUUUUUCUANNNNNNNNNNNNNNNNNNNNNNNNNNNNNNNNNNNNNNNNNNNNNNNNNNNNNNNNNNNNNNNNNNNNNNNNNNNNNNNNNNNNNNNNNNNNNNNNNNNNACAUAUAUGACAUGGUCUAUUUAAUUGUAUUUUUUAUAAAUGCUCUUUAAUACUUCCAAAUCAUAACAUUAAAUUUCUUAAAAUUGAAUUAUAAACAUUUUUUUUUUCUAUGAUUGAAUCAUUUAGCACUCCAAGUUUUACUAUUGGACGAAAUGUUAAGGAUCUAAUAAAUGGGUAACAUUAAUUUGCUGAAAUAGUUUUUCUUAUUACUUAUAAUGGUUUUAAGAAUGUUGAAAAAAAAAUUCAUGGGAAAACAUUUAUCAAACUCAAAUUUUGAUUCCUAUUUACUUUAUCUUUCCUUGUCAUGUCUCUUUCUAAUUUUCCUUUUUUAGCGGUUUGUUUAUUAGAACAGUAUAUCAUGCCUGUGAUUCUCUUUCUAUCACUUCUUUUCAAUUGAUUUGUUUAAUGCAAUAAUAUUUGUUUAAUGCAAUAAUAUAUCAUGUUAGACAAAAUAACACCUACCUACUACCCAAAUCCCCAAUGUGACAAUGAACUCUAUCUUUAAGCAUUAUUAUAAAAUUAAACGUAAAGGAUAUUAUAAGUUUCUUCCAUUCCACGUGCCUUUCCCAUAUAUUGAAAGGUGGAGGUUAUCAUUUUUAAAAGAUCAAUAAUUGUAAUGAAUUUUCCAUUCCACGUGCCUUUCCCAUAGAUUGAAAGGUGGAGGUGAUCAUUUUUAAAAGAUCAAUAAUUUUAAUGAAUUUCAUAUAUUUGCAUAUUUUUUAAGAGGGAAUUCAAAUUAACUCAUCUUAUUUCUCAAUGUUACGUAACUCCUGCCUCAAAUUAAAAUCAUCAUAUCAUUAUGAACAACUUUGAUACAACUAUUCAAUUUUUAAUAUGAAUUCUUUCAUUCUCAAAUCAUUGUUCAAGUUAGCUUUAUUAACUUAAAAAAACUCAUUCUUUGUCACUACUCCCUCUAUGAUUAUUAAAUGAUAAAAUUGUCAUUGUCUUAAAAACUAAUUUUGAUAAUAUAUUCAUCAACAUAUUUACAAAUUUAAAUUAAUACAAGUUGUAAGAAAUGUAUCAUAAAGAAGAUACAAAACUAGAAGUAGAUGAUAAUUAAUUAUUUUUUUUCUUUAUUGAACUUUGACACCCCAUCCAAAUGCAUUAACGAGAAAAAUAGUGUUUUAUGCUUGUUUUCAAUUAAUCUUGUCAAUAUGUACAUGAAAAACAAUGAUUUAUGCUUAUAAAUCUUAUCAAUUCGCUUAUUUGUAUAUGUAAAAUGAAAUUAUUGAAACUACACGUAGAAUUGCAUGAGGAAAAAAAUACAACUACUGCAUUUAUAAAUGAAUAAAAGCUUGGCUUAAAAUUCAAAAUUCUCAAAACUAUGUUUUCCACACCAAAAUAUUUCAUCCAGCCAACCAAACACCGAUUGAAUCCUCCCUCUAAAGCAUAUUGCCCAAGAUUACAGGCAACGUAGUAAUUACCUAGGCAAGUACGUCAGAAUUAUAGCUUCUUUUUUUUUUUUGUUUUUUUUCAGUUCAUUGACUCGGCUCCACCCAACCACUAUCAGUAUCAGUUACUACCAGAGAGGGUACUGGGUACUGGUUACUGGGCAGGAGCUUUUCCAAAUUCACAACCCGUCUUCUUUAUAUAAGGGCAAGUUUAUGUAUUUCCUCUCGCCAUUGCCUUUUGUUCGAAUCAUUUGAAGUUGAUUUUAUUAAUCCAUCAGAAAAACAUGGCUCUAACUGGUAAAUUGGAGAUUGAAACAGAGAUCAAAGCACCUGCUGAUAAGUUCUUUAAAAUCUUCAGGAGCCAAGCACACCACCUUCCUAAUAUCUGCUCCGAUAAAAUACACAAAAUCGAGGUACAUGAAGGUGACUGGGAGACUCAGGGCUCUGUCAAGCAUUGGAGUUACACCAUUGGUAGGAUAUGCAACUCGAACUCAGAACCCCAAAACACUAGCUAGCAUUAUAUUCCGUUAAAAUGUUUUUUGAUUUUUUUUCCCCAUUUCAUUGUUGUUUUCUUCACAUUUUUUUAUUCUUUUAGAAUAAAUGCAUGGCUCUUUGUACAAUUUUUCUUUUUUUCUUGCAAAGAAGUGGUCAAGUCUGGGCCGCCAGUGACUAUGAUCGAUGGUUCUUAGUAAUGUAUAUGGCAUCUAAUAUUAGCUUCAACAUAUUCCAAUUACUAGGAGGGAAUUCUAAGAGCAUUAAGGAGAGUGUGGAAUCAAUAGAUGAAGAGAACAGGUCCAUUACGUUCAAGGUUUCGGAUGGAGAGGUGCUGAACGACUACAAGAGCUACAAGUUCACCACACAAGCAAUACCAAAGGGAGAGGGCUGCUUGGUGAAAUGGACCAUUGAAUAUGAGAAGGCAAGUGAGGAUGGGCCAGAUCCCCAUGACUACCUGGAGUUUGCAGUUACUGUCACCAAAGAUAUCGAAAGUCACCUUCUCAAUGCAUAACACCAAGUCCAUACAUACCGUCUGCUAGUAUCUCUAUUAAAUAAAGUUUGGAACUUGGAAGGGCAUCUACGAUCUCUAUCCUUCAAUAUAUGCGAAGGCUUAGGGGAACUUUUAGCAGCUGUGGCUUGGUGAUUAAUGCUGAGAAGAUAAACUAGGUUUCCCUUAAUUAUUUGUGUAAUAAUGUUAGUGCAUGCGUGUAAUCGGUUGUAUGCUUGUCUGGACUCUAGGGGUUGCUUUGUGAUUGUUAAUUGGUGUCUUUUGUAAUGGGAUUACUACAUGUUAUGUGAAGACUAUAUGAUGUAUAAGGAAAUAAAGUGAAAAUUACCAGGGGCUAACUCCAUCAUGAGGAGCCUCUGAGUAUGUCCACAAGUCUACAUUCUUGCAUUCUAGUCACAUGUGUCAAAAUCAGACCCUAACAAAUUACAGUCUUGAUCAUUGAAGGGGUAAAAUCCCACUUUACAUAUAAUCUAAAUAAUUUAGCUAAAAUCUAAUAAGAAUAUCUCUCUCUACAGGUAUGUAACCUUCCAACCUUGAAUUUAAGGAUAUUUAUAUAAUUUAAAAUUAUAAAAAGAAAAUUUUGGAUAUAGGACAAAUUAAUUUUUUUUUUAAAAAAUAACGAAAGUGAAUGAAAUAUUUUUGGUUCCUAUGACCACCCACUUUUUUUACUUUUUAUUUUUAUCUCAUUUUAGUUUCUCCACGUUAUAAAAAAAUGAAAAGAUAAAAUAGAGAGGAAAAAAGACAACUUGGAUUUGUAGAAGUUUCUUUCUUUCAUGGUGUUUUUCUGUUCUGUUUUUGCCUUUGUUUCAUUCUAAAAGUCACUCACUAUCUUUAUCUCAUUUGGGUUUCCCCGCGUUAUCAAAAAAUGAAAAUAUAAAACAAAGAGGAAAAAAAAACCUAUACAAAGGUCUUUGGAAUUUUGAUUCAAAGACUUAAGAAAAGAAUAAUAAAUUUUUGCAUUUGUUCCGUUCUAAAAUUCAAGGUAAGUUUUUCACAUAUAAUUUUUUUUUAGGAAUUCUAUUAUCUAUUAAUUAUGAGAAUAGUAAAUAUAUAUAAUAAUAAUAAUAAUAAUAAUCAUCAUCAUCAUCAUCAUCAUCGUCAUCAUCAUUAUCAUUUUAAAACUAGUUAUUAGUGAUCCUAAUCAAUCGAGAACAAGUUGAUUUUCAUUACCCUUGGUAAUGGUAGUGAUAAAAUAUAUUUUUAGUUAAUAAGGGUGUAAUUAGCUUUGGGGUUUCAUUGAUUAGAAAUUAUUUCAUCUACUAGUAAAAAAAACAAAGUAAAACUAACCAUCAAGUGCAAAUCAUGAAUUUUUUUAAAUAUGAAUUGAGUAUACAAAGUAUAUUAUUUAAUUAUAUAUUUAAAUUGAAAGAGAUUAAUUUUUCAAAAAUAGUGAAUUUAAUCAUUGAAUCAAAUCAACUUACCUGUUAUAAAGAUGUGAUAUGUUCCAAAAUUUAGUUGUAUACAAUACGUGACCCUUCUUAUUAAACUAUCCUUUAUCAUUGAGCUAUCUAACUUACCUUUCUCAAUUAUUAUCCUUUAAGGUACAUCAAAUAUUGGUAUAAAUGAGAAGAGAUCGAGAUAUGAAAAGUAUUUCAAAUAGAAACAUCUUUAGAAUAGAUUUAUUUUUUAGGAUUGUUUACUUAGAUCAAGUUUAUUUUAAUUUCUAAAAUGUUUUUUUAAGUGUUUGAGAGAAUUAAAGUUAUUAUUUAGAUAUUUUAAUUAGUUUUGGAUUUGUUUGUUAAGGUCAUUCAUACAAAGAUGAUAUCCAUUUCUGUGUUAUAUUUUAUUUUAUUUAUUUAUUUCUUAUUUCAUGUAUUAAGUUUGAUAAAACUGAAGGUGAAAUCAACAUUGAAUUGCUAAAAAUGUCAAUUACUAUUGUUAAUUUAUCACAAUUAUGAUUUUUUAAUUGUAGCACAUAGUAAAAUUAUUAUUAUUAUUAUUAUUAAUAUUUAUACUCUGGUCGAACUUAUCCAUGGCCAAUCCAUCAUGUAGGCCAAUUUUGUCAAACUUAUCCAUGGCCCAUCCAUCAUGUAGGCCAAAUUUUUAUUAGCAUUUUUGGGUCAUAACUCUAGAUGCUGACAUUAAAGCAUUUCUGGCAUAAUAAUUAUUGGAAAAGGAUGUCUCCUCUUUCAUGGAUCACAACCAAUACAGCAAAGAUGAUGAUAGAUAGCAUCCUUAUCACCUCAUGUGUCUUGACCUCUUCUUCAAGCUUGAGUGUCUUGUCCUAUAUUUAACGCAUGUACCAUUGCCUCCAAGAUAUGGUGACAGGAAUUAUAUAGCUACUGACUAGCUAGUCUUCACUCCAAAAAUAUGAUGGCCACUUUUUUGAAAUAUAACUCUUUAUCCUAUUGACUUAAACUCACCACCUCUUUCAGAUCCUCCACAAGGAUCAACUUAUUAAGAGUUUGGUCGAAGUUUGAUCCACUUUUCUAAAUGAGCAAUGUUAAAUUAUUUUAUUCAAACAAAUUUGAUGAUCAAAUAUCUCUUAUUUUCUCAAAUUUAAAUAACAUUCCUUUAUAAAAAUAAUUAUAAAAUUUAUUAUAAUCACUCAUUUUCAAUGGCUCAUUAGUAGAUGUUCAUUGUAUUAAAAUACAUUUAUAUGAUUAAGAAAAACUUAUACAUUUCUAUUUUUUUUUUCUAUGCAUAAUUUAUAAUAUCUCAUAUAGGAUUUAUUGGGUUUAGAAACAUGUAAUAUUUAUAUAAUAGUGAGUGAAUUAUUAUAAAUGGUAUGAAAAUUGAUUUUCAACCCUUUAUGAGAAUUUAUUUAAUACUACAAUAUAUGACUCUAUGUUUGAUUAUGUAAUCCUAUAAGACACGAUGUCCAUUAAGUUCAUUAUAUUAUUUUUAAUUAUGUAAAAAUAUUUUAAAAUUAAAAAAAUUCAUUAAACUUAGUGCAGACGCUAUCUAUAUAAAAGGAAAUAAAUGGUUAUACUUCAUCAUAUUCGUUUCUCAUAUUUGAUAUAUAUCAAUUUCAGCGACUAUUAUUCAACAUUGCCCGAAGCAAUAGGUGCCUCACUUUUACAAAGAAAACUUCCUCUAUUGAUAUUUCUCAAAUAUAAAUUCAUGUCAUGGACUCAUGGUUAACAACCGAUAGAUCCUAAAACAAUUAGAUAUCUCAGAUAUUGAUUGACCAAAUGGACAACCGAUGCUAUAGUAAGAGCUGUUGCUGUUAUCUUUUAAUUUAAAUAUACACAAACGACAAAAUGCUUAACUAAUCCACCACCCAGGCGCCGGGCCACAGAAAUGAAAUACCGCCUACCCCAACAUUUUGGAAUUAAAAAUCUACACCACCCAGAUCUUGCUGUGAUUUGGUAAAUCCCGAGAAAUUGACAACCUUCCUACGCUGGGGAGGCGUGGUUCCAUUCAAUGCCAACAUUUUCGGAUGGGUCCAGAGAGUUGUACAGUGACUUUUAAAUAAAGAAUUGUUUUAAACCUUGACUUUGGGCUCUUUAUCAGGAAUAUGAAAAUAUUGGGCAAUGACUAGAUUCGAGAGCAGGUUGCAUGCAUAGAUAUCGCAUUAAUUUUUAGCAAUCGUUAUGACGAAAGAAAAUCUGCAGAACCAAGCGAAUUUUCCUAGUCAUCAUGAGAGACAUUAGACAAGGUUUUCAAUUCAUAAAAUUGCCUUAUCAUCUGGAAUUAAAUAUUUUCAAGCUAAGGAUGAGGUUCAAUCCGUACGGGGCAAUGAAAAUAUAUGGAUGCCCUAUAGAGUGGUUGAACAUUCUACAGUUUCGUCCCUAUUUAUAGAAGAAGAUGAAAUUUUAAGCAAUUUGCUUCAAUGCAAUUUUAGCAUAUUUCAGCUAGUCAUAGCAACGUCUAAUUUCGUUGAUGUAGAAGAAGCUAACACCAAAGAUUCAUCUAGGUAGAAAGAAGUAUCGAGCAUGUAACUAACCGCAGAACUCACAUCUAGGGACCCUAUUGUAAAUAUAACAGGUGAUGGACAUAAAGAUAGAUAUGAGUAAAAGAGUGGAACAUAAAAUCCAAAUUUCAAAAGUAUGAUAGUUUUUUAGUGUUUCUUUGAAUCUCGUAGGAAUUUAGGUCAUUUUCAAUCUCAUCCAUGAGACAAGGUACAAUAAUUGUUGAAGAAUAAGAGUAUUGUUGGGCAGUUCGGCGAGCUAUAUAUAAAGAGAGAGACUUCUUAACCAUAUAAAUAUUAUCCUCUAUAACUCUAAAUUUUUUUUUCCUUUAUCCAAUAUAAAAUAUCACAAUCACUUUUAUGUAUGCACUCUUUUUAAUCACGUCGCAUAAAAUUACACCAUUUUCAAAGCUAAAUAAACUCCUAUAUAGGGGUCAUAUAUUGACUUCAAUACUCUUUGAAACGACUCACACUUAAUCAUAUAAACUCAUUAUAAUAAUGUAUUUCCUAAUUUCAUGGAAUUUCAAUAAAAUAUUUAUUACUUUCAAAUGGGAAUUAGAGAGGAAUGUUGUCUAGCUAACUCAUAAUUCUUCUUUAUAAGUUCAAAUUAGGUAUUUACUUCUUCCUACCAUUACCUCAUAUUUUGAUUGUUUCUUCGUUAAUAUAUAGUUGGUUAAACUAAUAAACUAGAGGUUAGGAUGGAGAUCAAUUUAGAUUAUGUUUGUUUUGAGUUUAAUAAACCCUUACGACUUUAAAAUGUGUUUAGAUAGUUAAGAGAAACUUAUACAUAUAUAAUAUUAAAAAAAUUUCCUCAUUUAAUGUGAGAUAUUAUAAUCAUCACUCAUGUAGACAUAAUAUAUUUGUUGUAAGUCAGAAGAUUGUAAAACCAAACAAAUUUUUUCAUUGAAAUAUAAUAUUAUUUGUAAUGGUUCACUUUCUCUCAUGGAUCCCAACUCCAUUAGGUUCUUCAUGAAGCUUGUUUCAGUUUAUUAACCACCGAUGUAGCAAAGAUGAUGAUAAGUAGUAUUUUUGUUUCUCAUAUGUUUUCAGACCUCAUCAAGCUUGAGUGCCUUAUCCCAUCUCUAACGCAUGUACCAUUGCCUCCAAAAUAUGUUGCCAGAUUAUACAUAAUAUCAUAAUUAUAGCUACUGAAGUCCAACGACUACCUAGCUAGUCUUCACUCCCAAAAACAUGAUGGUCACUUCUUUGAAAUAUAACUCUUAUCCUAGUGACUCAAACUCACCACCUCAUUGACAUCCGUCAUAAGAAUUUCAGAGACUCUUCAAAGUUUGAUCCACUUUUAUAGAUGAAUAAUGUAAAAUUCUUUUAUUCAAACAAAUUUGAUGAUCAAAUAUCUUUUCUUUCCUAAAAAUUAUAUUUCCUUUUUAUAAAUCUUAUUUUAAUGACCCAAUUACAGUAUGGUAGAUAUUGUUUGUUUCGAGUCCAAUAAACCCUUAUAACUUUAAAAUAUGAUUAAAUAGUUAAGAGAAACUUAUAAAUAUAUAAAUGUGAGGUCAAAUAAAUUUUCAUAUUGAGAUAAAAGAUUAACUUUAAUACUAUUUGUAAUGGUUUACUUUCUUUCAUGUAAACAUCAUCCACUUUAUACUCAAUGAAUCAUUGAAGCUUUAAAACAUAUUUACAUGAUUAAAAGAAACUCGUACAUAUAGUAUUAGAAUUUUUUUUUUCUGACCCAUGAUUUGCAAUAUAUGUAUAAAUACGUUUUAAAGUUAUGAGGAUUUAUUAAGUUCAGAGUAAAUAGUAUUUAUAUUAAAUGGAAUGACAUGUCACAUGCAAAUAAUAUCAAACUCAAUCUCCAAUUUUUAUAUAAGAGUUUGUUUGAUUUUAUAAAAAAUGUUUGUGUGUUUCAUUCUACAAUUCUGUGAGACACAACAUCCAUUUAAUUUAUUAAAGUCUUUUUAACUAUGUAAACAUGUUUUAAGUUGUUAAGAUUGAUUGGGUAAAAACAGAAGAGGUGAUUGUGUGUUUUAUCCUACAAUUCAAUGAGGCAAUGCCUAAUUGAUUCAUUGGGGUACUUUUAAUCGUUAAUGCAUGUUUCAAUGUUGCUAAGAUUGAUUGAGUGAGGAAAAUAUCUACAUAUGAAAGGCAACAGUUAGUUACACUUCAUUAUGUUUUUUUCUAAUAUAUUGAUAUAUGUCAAUUUCAGUAGUUAUUAAUUCAACAUCGCCCAAAGUAACCAAUGCCUCGCUUUUCCAAACAAAACUUUCUCUAUUGAUAUUUCUUAAAUAUAAAAUCAUGUCAUGGUAAGCAUCCGAUGGAUACUAAGACAAUUGGAUAGAUAUCUCAGAUAUUGAAUGGACCAAAUGGGGUAACGGAUGUGGUAGUAUACAAGCGCUGUAUAUCUUUUAAUUUAGAUAUACACACACAACGUAAUGCCUAAUCCAUCCAGCCGGGGGGCCGGCCAGAGAGAUAUAAAAUACCCCCAAUCCCAUCAUUUUGUAUUUUGUAUUGGAAUUAAAAAUCCAAACCCAGAUAUUGCUAUGAUUUGGUAAAUCCCGAGAAAUUGAGAACCCAUCCUGGGGGAGGCAUGGUCCCCCUAUUCAAUGCCAACCCUAUUUUCAAAUGGUGUCUAAAGAGUUGUACAGUUAACGGUGACUUUAAAAUAAAGAAUUGCCUUAAACCUUGAUUUUAGGCCCUUCUUCAAGAAUAUGAAAAUGCAUGUUGGGCAAUGAUUUAGAUUCGAAAGUGGGUUCUGCAGACAUCACAUUUCUGCAGAGCCGAAAAUAUUUACAAGCGUAGGACGAAGCUCAGUUCAGAUGGGCCUCGAAGAUGAAUUUUUAAGCAAUUUGCUUGAUACAUUCAGCAAUUGAUAAUUUAAAAUAAAAAAAAUUAGGAAAUAGAAAGUAAAACAUAUAUGGUUAAAACUUCAAUGCAAUUUUAGCAUAUUUGAACUAGUCAUAGGAGCGUUUAAUUUCUUUGAUGAAGAAGCUGAACACCAAAGAUUCAUCCAGGUAGAAAAAUGUAUUGACCAUCUAAUUGUCUGCAGAACCUACAUCUAAGUACCCCGCUAUAAAUAUAAGAGGCAACUUAGGUGAGGGACAUAUAGACACAUACGAAUGCCAUUGUAGAAUAUAAAAUCCAAAUUUCUCAAAACUAUAAGGUUAUGUUUGAAUCCAAAAAAAUAUUAGAGGAAGUGAAAAUGUUAAGAAAAAUAAUUUUUUAUGAUUAAUUUUAUUAUAAAAAAUAUAAAAAAUAAAUAUAAUUAAAAUUAGUUAGAAUUUUACAUAUUUUUAAAUUAUAUAAUUUGAAUUUAAAUAAAUAUAUAAAAAUAAGUCAUUAAUUUUAGAUCUAUUUCUUUUUUCUUUUUUUAUAUUCUCCCACAAAAUUUCAGUAACCGAACACAACCUAAUAGUUUCCACUGUUUCUUUGAAUUUCUCAACUUCAAAAUCUCUUGUCUAUGAGACCUCAGAGUAAUUAAUUCCUACCUCUUGGUGACUAGGCCAAGCGCAUGGAUAGGCACAUUGACCCACUUGUAAUUGCCUAGGCUAAUAGGCCAAGCUCAUAGCAAUUUUCCUUUUUUAUUUUUUAAUUUCGUCGUAGGACUUGGUCUCCACAAGGCACUAUAACGUAUCCCCUAAUUUCAUUUCAUGGAACUUUAAUAAAAUAUCUAUUGCUUUCAAGUGGGAACUGGAGAGCAACGUUGCCUAGCUAACUCACAAUCCUUCUAUAUAAGUUCAAGCUAGGUAUCUUCUUCCUUCCACCACUGCCCACUGCCUUGUAUUAGGAUAUCGUUUCUUAGUUAAUAUAUAGUUGAUUAAUUUCCAUCUCCAACUACUACUAUUAUUAGAAAAAUAUGGCUCUAACUGGCAAGCUAGAGGUUGAAAUGGAGAUCAAUUCACCUGCGGAUAAAUUCUAUAACAUCUUCAGGAGGCAAGCACACCACAUUCCUAAUAUCUGCUCAGAUAAAGUACACCAAAUUGAUGUACAUGAAGGUGACUGGGAGACUCCAGGCUCCGUCAAGAACUGGGGUUAUACUCUUGGUAAGGCAACCACAACUCAAACCCCAAAACCCUAGCACUAUUAGUCUGUAAAAAAAAAUGAUUUUUUUAGUUUUUCUAUUUCAUUUAAUUGUUUUUUUGUUUGGCAUUUUCCCCUUUAGAAUAUUAAUUUAACUGCAUUAAUUCGGAGUUGAUCCCAUCAUGUGGAAGUUUAUGCUUCUGUUAUGAAUACAGCUUUGUAUGCCUUCCUUAUGUUUAAUUCAACCUAAAGCAUGUAGAAUUGAUGGUCAAAGUCUAUGGGACCCUUUUUUCAUGACCGCCAUGCAUGGGGCUUUCCCAGGUGACUGCCCGCUACUAAAGGGGCCUAAAGUUUAGGUCCCCCGAGUUAGAACUUAGAAGAGGGAUUAUGAAUGAUCAGUGAAGUUGUAAGGUUUUGAUCUUCUUAGAUAUUACCUAGAAAGAGGAUUGACUUUACUUGACUUUUACCAUAUUGAUUUAGAGAUUGGCGAUUGCUUUAAAAGGUUGUGUCAACAGAAGAAAACUUAAAAAAUAUUAAGAAAAAUAAAAAAAAUGAUUUUGUUUUUAUAAAAAAAAUCAAAUAUAAUAAAAACGAGUUGAAAUUUUAUUUAUUUUUAAAUUAACUUUUAUAUAGAAGAAUUAAAAUACGUUAAGUAAAUUUGAAUCAAAAUAUAAAAAUAAUUAAUUUCUUAAUUUUAAAUUUAUUAUUUUUCUUUUAACUUCUUUUUUGUUUUUUCAUUUUCUUUUCUUUUGUAUUUUCUUCAAAUUUUUUUAGAACCAAAUAUAGUCAUUAUGAAAAGAUGGGCCACGAAGUGACUACGCAUGUCAAUUUGCUUGAGAUUUCGCAAUCUAGUAGUUUCAAAAUACUAUGCUUAACCCCUUGUUUUGGUUUGAAAUUACUAGGAGGGACUUCUAUGAGCCUUAAAGAGACUGUGGAAUCAGUAGAUGAUGAAAACAAGUCAAUCACUUUCAAGGUUGUGGAUGGAGAGAUCAUGAACCAUUUCAAGUGCUUCAAGUCCAACUUGCAAGUAAAAGCAAAGGAUGAGGGCAGCUUGGUGAAAUGGAGUCUGGAAUAUGAGAAAGUAAAUAAGGAUGUCCCAAAUCCUGAUGCUUACCUGGAGUUCGCAGUUAAUGUUACUAAAGAUAUUGAAAGCCACUACCUCAAGGCAUGACACCAAGGCCAUGUGGUAUCCUCGGUAGUAUUACUUCAAUAACGCUGGUGUUUGUAAUUUGGUUGAGUUGUAUGCUUUACCAGGAGUGGCCUUGUGAUUGGCUGGUUUCUUUUGUAAAGGCAUUAUCAUAUAUGAUGUAAAUACUGUACCUUAAAUAAAAAGAAAAUCAGCAAAGACCCUCCUUUUUAAUGUGGAUAAUUGCUUUUAAUGUCACCUUUGUUGAUCGGUUUACAAGACAAGAGUUAACAAGUAGUCCCUAUUUAUUAAAUAUAAGAAUUUUCUGUAUCCAUUAAUCAUCAUCAGUAAGCUAAUAAAAUGGCUGAUAUUUUUCUUAAUAAAAACAGCAACAGUUACUGAGUUUAUAUAUAGGACACCAGUUGCAGAUUAGAUUUCUUUGGCUUGAUUGUGAUCUUUCUACAUGUUGGAAAAAUAUUGUCAUUUGGUAUUUAAUAUCAAAUUUUAAAAAUAAUAUUUAAGAUAUGAAGAAAAAAACAUACAAUGAUUCAUAUUUUUAACUUUAAUAUGAUUUAAAGUUCAUCGAGUAACCGUUUUGAAAUCAUUCACCCUUGAUCUUCACUUUCCUAGUCUCCCUUUACACGUUCCUUAGUGGUGAGUAUGAAAAUGAUUCCAUUGAAUUGUAAGAAUGGAAAGAGGGAUAAAAAAUUCUUCUAUUUAUAAGCAUAGAAUGAUUCUUCUUAUCAGUGAACCAUUAACUAAAUACUUUAAACAUAUUAUUAAUUAAUAAUAAUAAUAAUAAUAAUUAUUAUUAGAAAAUAAAUUUCAUAAAUAUUAUAAAUUUAAAAAAGAAUCUAAUUUAAUUCUUAAAAAAUUUAUGCAUGAAAUUUUUAUAUUAUUUUUAAUUGUUUUCUAAGGGUUAUUUUAAGAAAUUAUUAUACAAACAUAUAAAAUAAUUAAAAAUAAAACAAUAGAUAUAAAAAUUAUUUUUAAAAAUAUUAAAAAUAAAUUCAAAAUAUUUUAAGUUGCCAAACAAAUUUUUUAUUCUACAAAAAUCAGAGAUAGUUUUCAAAAUCUCUUUUAAAAAACUAUUUUUCAGAAUUAUUUUAAAAAAUAGUUACCAAACAAGCCCUAAAAGAUUUAUAUAUAUAUAUAUAUAUGAAAUUAAAAAAAUAUCAAAUAAUAAAAAUUCAAACAAUGGUAAGGGUGUCACUAAUGAUCGGUUUGGAUUUAAACUAACAUUUUUUUAUAUUGAGUAAUUUAUUUUUUAUUCUAUAUAUUAGAAAAUUGAAUUUAAAUGUAACUUUUUCAAAUAAAAUAGUUAGAUCACACUUGAUAUAUAGUAAUAAUUUUUUAAAAACUAAUGGUCAUAAUUUAAAAAAAUGAUGAAAAAAAAAUCUCAAAUAUAUUGCAUAUGAAUGUAUAUAUUUAGUUUUAUACAACAUGUUAGACAUAUAUUAGUUAUUAACUUAUUAUAAUCUACUAAAAUAUUAAUUCUAUACGAGGGGAUUAGAUUUCUCAUUGUUGAUUUUAUAACCCUCAUUGUGGGAUUAUAAAAUGUCAUUGCAAUCACUCCCAAUUUAGUCUAUGCAAAUCAAAUAUAGAAAUGCAAUUUAUCUCUGUCACAAUUUGUUACACAAUAAUGAUAAUGGAUAAUAAAUAAAUAAAUAAAUAAAAUUAAAGAACACACAUUUAUGUAUAAAACUUUAGAUGAGAAAAAUCAUGGAUAAGGAAAAUGAAUAUCCAAUAUAUCAAAAGAUUGGUAUAAAAGAUGAGAAAUAUAAACAACUAUGAUAAAAAUAUAAUCAUCAUAACCUUAAAAUUAUGUGAAAGUAAUUAACAAAGUAGGUCCAUACAUAAGGACAAAGAGCCCCCUCAAAGGUAUCAAUGGUGGGGGUGUGGGGUGUGGGAUCGGAUCAAAUUCCAACGUUAUCAAUGGUAGGCUAGGGGAUCGGAUCAAAUAGAAUUUGGAUCGCCAAACCUUAAUACAUUUUAUGCUUUUUCUUAUUGGUUUAGAUUUAUGAUAAUCUCCUCCACCAGCAAAAUAAAGUUAUACCGGAGGAUUUUCUUUGUUUUGGCUGUCACACUUUCACUUCUUUGCUAAUAGCCUAACAUCAAAUGAGAAAAUAGAGACAUUUUAAAAAUGAGAACAAAUUCUCGAGGAUUUAGUUGUCUGCCACUAGACUAUAAAAAAUGCUUUCCUGUUAUUUUACCCCCUAAAAUAAGUUUGAUACAAUGCAUCUAUUUUCUGGCUCCGACAAUGUUUAAGAAUACAUCAACCGACCUCAAACCACAUUAUUUCGGUUUGAAAAGAAGGCUUUAUUAUGUCAGUAUGGCUGCUAAGAAGACUUUUGGAAUAUAAUAAAACAAGUCCAGCGAGUUGAUGGUUUGGAAUCGAGAGAUCAUGAAUGAUUUCCCUACUUUAGAGUCAAUAAUUAAGUGGAAUGUGAGAAGGUGAAUGAGGAUGGCCCGGGAUCCAAUGCUUACUAAACUAUUGAAGAUCACCUUCCUGAGGCAUAAUUCCAUUACUUUUCAUCGACGCUGCGAUGCUAUAAAAGAAUAUUAUAAAAAUGCAAGGGUAAUGAAAUAUUGUACAGCCUUUACCGUAUUGAAGAACGUGGACUGAUUGCUAGGGUACCCAACACCCACCAUAAUUCCCACACCAACUCCCAACCAACCCGAUCACGUAGGGCCUCACAUGGCCUCAUUAUCAUUUAUGUGGAAAGAUAAUGCUAAACUAUAUACGGGAUGGCCAUUCUACCAGCCAACCUGUAAUGAUUUUGAUAAAAGUAUACUAAAAAUAGAAGGAGAAAUUAAGUUAUCAUUUGAUAACGGUUUUUAAAAAUUGUUUUUAAUAUUUUAUAAAAUAAAAUUUUAUUUAGAAAUACAAAAUAUUUUUAACUUAUUUUUAAUAUUUUAUAUGUAUAUAUAUAUAUAUAAAGAGAGAGCGCUUUAUUUUUAAUUAUUUUUCAUAUUUAUAUAAUUAUUUUUUAAAACAAUUUCAAAAAAACAAGUGAAAAUAACUAAAAAAAUAUUCUUUGAGAUAAAGAUCAAAAAACAUAAAAUAGUUUUUUUUAUUAUCAAACAUGUUUUAUGUUUUCUAAUCUGUGUUUUUUUAAUUUGUUUUUUGUUUUCAAAUCUUAAGAUCACUUAAUUUUUUAGGGUUUUUUUUAAGAAAUAAUUAUAUAAAUAUAUAAAAUAAUUAAAAAUAAAAUAUUAGACAUAAAAAUUAUUUUUAAAACAUAUUUAAAAAUAUUAAAAACAAGUUUAAAAUAUUUUAAGUUAUAAAAUAAGCUUUUUUUUUUUUACAAGAAUCAUAAAAUAAUUUUUAAAAACUAUUUUAAAAUAUUAUUUUUGAAAAUAAUUAUCAAACCCCUUAUUUUCUAUUCUCAAAAAAUGUUUUUUAAUUAUCAAAUGUGGUGUCUAUUUAAAUUUAAGAUUUUAAAUUUUAAAUUUAGUUAUUUCCAAGUUAUGAUCUCUUGAUAUUAUUUCAACCUAUUAUUUAUUUAUUUGUUUGUUUUUCACAUAAAUAAACUAAAAUUCAAUUGUAUAACCCAGUAUGAAUCACGUGGGCCCUUAGUGAGGCUGGCUACAACUAAAUCAACGUUCUUUUGAUAAUCGAUUGCCUAUGAAAGAAAUCAUCACGCCUUACACACAAUAGAAUAAAUUAAUAAGAAAGUAAGAAGAUUAGAAAGAAAAGCAUCUUAGAGGAAGGGUUUUUUUUUUUUUAACUUCUUGGUGGUGACACUGGAUGGGCUUUUGAUAAUUGUACGACGAAUUUAAAAUUAAUGUUUUAAAAUACGGUAUUAAAAAAUAUUUUCAAAUUUAUGGUACUUUUUACCACUUUGAAACAUGUUUCUUAAAAAAGCAUAUUUCAUCGUUUUUAUAUUAAUGAUACACAUUCAAAAAAAAAAAAAUUAAAGGUGUCUUUUUGAAAUAUAUUUUUCAUAAUUUUUAUAUCAAUAACACACAUUAAAAAAUUUUGAAUUUAUAUUAAAAGUGUCUCUUCAAAAAACACAUUUUAUAAUUCCAUAAAAUUAAAUUUAUAUUAAAAGUGUCUUUUAAAGAUAUACUUUUUACAAUUUUCAUAUCAGUUAUAUAGUGAAAAAAUUGAAUUUAUAUUAAACAUAUUUCUUUAAAAGACAUUUUCUACAAUUUCAUAAAAUUAAAUUUAUAUUAAAGGUAUCUCUUUCAAUAAUUUUUGUAUCAAUCAUCCAUUGAAAUAAUUGAAUUUAUACUAAAAAUAUCUUUUUAAAAGACACCAUCCAUAAUUUCAUAAAAUUAAAUUUAUAUUGAAAUGUUUCUCUUUAUACUUUUAAUAUAAAUUUAAUUUUUUUAUAGGUGAUUAAUAUAAAAAUUAUGAAAAGUAUUUAUUUAAAAAAUAUUUAUUAUAAAUUCAAUUUUAUAGAAUUAUAAAGACGUCUUCAACGUAAAUUCAAUUAUUUUUUCAAUGUGUAAUUGAUAUGAACAUUAUGAAAAAUGUCCUUCAAAAGACACUUUUAGUAUAAAUUUGAUUUUAUGGUAUUAUUAAAAGUAUAUUUCUUUAAUAUAAAUUCAAUUUUUUAACAUGUAUAACUAAUGAAAAAUUAUAAAAAAAUUAUAUUUUGAAGAGAUAUCUUUAAUAUAAAUUCAAUUUUUUAACAUGUAUAACUAAUGAAAAAUUAUAAAAAAAAUUAUAUUUUGAAGAGAUAUCUUUAAUAUAAAUUCAAUUUUAUAGAAUUAUAAAAGAUAUCUAUUGAAAAAAUACUUUUAACAUGUAUCAUUGAUAUGAAAAAUAUAGAAAAUAUCUUUUCAAAAAACACUUUUUAAAAUGGUAAAAAGUACCAUAAAUUUAUCAAAAGUUUUAUAACUAUCAUAGAAAUUUUUUUCAAAAGUUCCAUUUUUUAAUAAUUAUUUUUUUAAAUAGCCGUACAAGUUAUAUAAAAAAAAACCCGAUACUCCAUAAAAUGUGAUCAAGUAGGAUUUGCAUCAUGCAACCUCAUACAAAUAAUAAAAAGCAUAAAUCACUUGAAACUUGAAAGUGAUUGGAAUUUGGCAGACUCUAGCUAGCUAGGUUGCCAUAAAUGACAUGGGUCAGUGGCCGACACCCACCAAACCCAGCACUUAAUAAUAUAAUUAAUAUACUAUUAUUAUAGAACCAUCGUUUUCAGGAUAGGGAGCAUCAAAUUAACCUCCCCAAGUCAAACUGCACAAUUUGUUUCAUCGAAAUCGAAUAUCUAAUAAUGAAUGAUUAUGGGUGAGAUUGCAAUCCGCCAAUCCUUUGCCUAGCUCUUUGAAAAUCAAUGAUGAUGCUUAGUAUUAAUAUUUUAUUUAUCUUUUUAAUAUGAAAAUAAAAAUAUCAAAAUAAUUUUAAACUUUUUUCGUGGAGAUAAUGCUCCCCAGUUAAGCUGCUUAUAAGGUAUAAAUUAAUAAUAACCUUUUAAUUUUAAUAAAAGCAAUUUGAUACAUAUCACAUCUUAAUUCACUUGAGUAAUAACUAUUUAAGAUUGGAUUUAGGUUAACUUAGAUUAAUUAGAUUGUAUUCAGGUUAAUUAAACCAUAAUCAUAUUAUUAUCAACAAUUUCUCACAACUAUCCUAUUUUUAAUAUGAAUUAUUCCUAGUUCUCAAAUUAUUGUUUAGGUAGUUUUAUUAUCUUAAAAAACAUCUUUUUUUGUCAUUGGUUCUGCAUGGUUAUUAAAUAAGAAAAUUAUAAUUAUCUUAUCAACUAAUUUGAAGACUUUUCACAAAUUCAUACUUUAAAAACCUCUUUCUUUGUCGUGGGUCCCUACAUGGUUAUUAAAUAAUAAAAUUGUAAUAAUUUUAUCAAUUAAUUUGAAGACUUUUCACAAAUUUAUACAAUACUAGUUAUCGGAAAUGUGUCACAAAGAAGAUGCCAAGCUAAAAGCAAAUCAUGAUUCAUUAUUUUUUUUCCCAAUUGGAGCUCGAUGACCCAAUCCGAAUGCAUUAACAUCAAAAUUAGUGUUUUAUACUAUUUUCAAUGAACCUUGUCAACAUGAUCGUGAAAUGAUUUAUGAUUAUUUUCAAUAAACCUUUCAUCGAAACUAUGUGUAGAACUGCAUGAAUAAAUAAGAAAUUUUCAUAGUUACAGAUUUGCAUUAUCUCACUCUAUAUGAUUUUAUAUAGUUUUUUUUUUAAUACUUCUGCAACAUUUCUUUAGAAAAAAUAUUGUAUCAAUAAAUUCAGUAAUUUUCAUCAAUUUCAAUCUUAUAAUUAAAUGAUACUUCUGUCAUGUAUAUCACCAUACGUGUCACACUUCAUUCAAGAUCAGGUUGAUUAGUCAUGUAUACCUGCUCCAUUAAUAAAGUAUUAAGUUUUUAUUUUAUUUUAUUAAAAUAAUAAAUAAAUAAUAUAAUUUUUUUUUAUUAGAGGUAGUUAGGUAUCAUUAAAUGAUUUGUUGUCCUGCCAUGUCCCCAAUUAAUAAUUUUAUACUUUUCAUUUUUUUCAAAGGAUUUAAAAUAUAAAAUAUUAAAGAUAAAAUAUCUGAAAGUACCGCUUCCAUACCCAAUCAAAUUUUAAAUCUAAAUUAUUGACAUGUGAGUGAAAUUUGGACUAUUAAAUAAAAAGUGAAAAAAAAAUAAAAUAAUAAAUAAUUAAAAAUGUUCCUGCAAGGAGAUGUGACUAAGGUUAAAAAAGGAGGGGAUAAGGAGCGGCUAGGAAUAUGUAAACAAAAUUCAAAUAAUUAAAAAACGAAAUGAUAACUUCUCAAUGAAAUUGAAUGUUUCAGUUCUAAAAUCCAAAACAAAAACUAUAGUGAAAGAAAAAUUUGAGAAAAUAUAGCAUGGUCUUCUCUUUAAUGAUUGAUAAAUAUUUAUAUAUAAAUAAAGUUUAUUUUCCAUUAUAAUUUAGAUUAGUCGAGUCUUGUUUUCUACUCAAAUUCAAACUUCACAUUUUGUUAUAAUUUAAUCUAAUAAUAAUUGUUUUCACAAGACAAGCUGAAGUUAUCCAUUAAAAUACAACUUUUAAUUAAUAGUUUAAAAAAUAAGAUAAAUUUGAAAAUAAUUUUAAAAUUUAAUAAGUAUAUAUAUUUUUAAAUAGCAUUUUUUUUUUUAAAUUGCCAAAUCUAUGCUCAGAAAAGAUCCACAAAAGUUGAUCAACAAAAGAUACCGAACAGGAAGUAGAUGAUAAUCCAUUAUUUUCUUCUUUAUUAAAGUUUGACAACCCAAUCUGAAUUCAUUAACGUGAAAAGCAGUGUUGUAUGCUCAUUUUCAAUGAACCUUGUCAACAUGCACGUCAAAAACAAUGAUUUAUUAACUACGUACAUGUAGAAUUCCAUGGGAAAAAAAAAAAUACAAUUAAGGCCUUGGGAGAUGAAUAAAAGCUUAACCUAAAAUUCAAAAUUCUCAAAACCAUGUUUUUUCACACCAAAAUGUUUCAUCCAGCCAACCUAAGACCGAUUGAAUCCUCCCUCUAAAGCACAUUGCCCAAGAUUACAGGCAACGUAGUAAUUACCUAAGCAAGUACGUCAGAAUCAUAGCAAUUUUUACCAAAGUGGGUAUCGGGAAGGAGCUUUGCCUAAUUCAUUCUUCGACAAGGUUAUCUACUUCCUCUCGUCACUGCCUUCUGUUUGAAUCAUUUGUAGUUAGUUUUAUCAAUCCAGCUAGUGUUAUUAUCAGAAAAACAUGGCUCUAACUGCUAAAGUGGAGACUGAAACAGAGAUCAAAGCACCUGCUGAUAAGUUCUUUAAACUCUUCAGGAGCCAAGCACACCACCUUCCUAAUAUCUGCUCCGAUAAAAUACACAAAAUCGAGGUACAUGAAGGUGACUGGGAGACUCAGGGCUCCGUCAAGCAUUGGAGUUACACCAUUGG